This 492-nucleotide ribosomal RNA is filed under the name uncultured bacterium. RNAcentral's name for it is "partial 16S ribosomal RNA". It matches the Rfam family "Bacterial small subunit ribosomal RNA", at positions 29 to 507 of the family's 1533-position model. The record is from RNAcentral.
AGUGAACGCUGGCGGUAUGCCUAACACAUGCAAGUCGAACGGCAGCACAGUAAGAGCUUGCUCUUACGGGUGGCGAGUGGCGGACGGGUGAGGAAUACAUCGGAAUCUACUUUUUCGUGGGGGAUAACGUAGGGAAACUUACGCUAAUACCGCAUACGACCUACGGCUGAAAGCAGGGGAUCUUCGGACCUUGCGCGAUUGAAUGAGCCGAUGUCGGAUUAGCUAGUUGGCGGGGUAAAGGCCCACCAAGGCGACGAUCCGUAGCUGGUCUGAGAGGAUGAUCAGCCACACUGGAACUGAGACACGGUCCAGACUCCUACGGGAGGCAGCAGUGGGGAAUAUUAGACAAUGGGCGCAAGCCUGAUCCAGCCAUACCGCGUGGGUGAAGAAGGCCUUCGGGUUGUAAAGCCCUUUUGUUGGGGAAGAAAAGCAGCAGGUUAAUACCCCGCUGUUCUGACGGUACCCAAAGAAUAAGCACCGGCUAACUUCGUG